RNAcentral lists this non-coding RNA (45 nucleotides) under Schistosoma curassoni. The record is from RNAcentral. Lineage: Eukaryota; Metazoa; Platyhelminthes; Trematoda; Strigeidida; Schistosomatidae.
AUCCGGCUGAUGAGUCUUAAAUAGGACGAAAUGUACAACUUGGAU